AUACGUAGGUGACAAGCGUUAUCCGGAUUUACUGGGCGUAAAGGGCGUGUAGGCGGUCUUGCAAGUCAGAAGUGAAAUUCCUGAGCUCAACUCGGGCGCUGCUUCUGAAACUGCAGGACUUGAGUGCUGGAGGGGAUAGCGGAAUUCCUAGUGGAGCGGUAAAAUGCGCAGAUAUUAGGAAGAACACCGGUGGCGAAGGCGGAUUUCUGGACGGUAUCUGACGCUGAGGCGCGAAAGCGUGGGGAGAAAACAGGAUUAGAUACCCGGGUAGUCCACGCCGUAAACGAUGAAUACUAGGUGUAGGGGGUAUCGACUCCCUCUGUGCCGCAGUUAACACAAUAAGUAUUCCGCCUGGGGAGUACGGCCGCAAGGUUGAAACUCAAAUGAAUUGACGGGG
RNAcentral lists this ribosomal RNA (397 nucleotides) under uncultured bacterium. RNAcentral describes it as "partial 16S ribosomal RNA". It matches the Rfam family "Bacterial small subunit ribosomal RNA", at positions 523 to 918 of the family's 1533-position model. The record is from RNAcentral.